GAGUUUGAUCAUGGCUCAGAACGAACGCUGGCGGCAUGCCUAACACAUGCAAGUCGAACGAAGGCUUCGGCCUUAGUGGCGCACGGGUGCGUAACGCGUGGGAAUCUGCCCUUUGCUUCGGAAUAACAGUGGGAAACUACUGCUAAUACCGGAUGAUGUCUUCGGACCAAAGAUUUAUCGGCAAGGGAUGAGCCCGCGUAGGAUUAGGUAGUUGGUGGGGUAAAGGCCUACCAAGCCGACGAUCCUUAGCUGGUCUGAGAGGAUGAUCAGCCACACUGGGACUGAGACACGGCCCAGACUCCUACGGGAGGCAGCAGUGGGGAAUAUUGGACAAUGGGGGGAACCCUGAGUCCAGCAAUGCCGCGUGAGUGAUGAAGGCCUUAGGGUUGUAAAGCUCUUUUACCAGGGAUGAUAAUGACAGUACCUGGAGAAUAAGCU
Molecule: ribosomal RNA, 438 nt
Filed under: uncultured Alphaproteobacteria bacterium
Lineage: Bacteria; Pseudomonadati; Pseudomonadota; Alphaproteobacteria
Description: bacterial SSU rRNA
Rfam family: Bacterial small subunit ribosomal RNA
Source: RNAcentral